Cyprinus carpio (common carp) is the source of this 842-nucleotide long non-coding RNA. Lineage: Eukaryota; Metazoa; Chordata; Actinopteri; Cypriniformes; Cyprinidae. The record is from Ensembl.
UGGACGAAUUCAUUUUUGAUGAGUCUCCACUCCCUCUUCCGAUUCAAGGGUCUCCAAAGACUGCAUCUAUUUUUCCACUGCAGCCGAAACAUGCCUGGUCAGAUAAUGAAGGUCAGAUAAUGAAGUUUGACUCCUCACCUUAGUAGCAGGGGAAUCACUAAUGAGUCCACUGCCCUUCUCAUGCUGAAGAGAGCCAACAAAAUGAAAUCAAGAAACAGAAGCAGAAGGGGUUAUUUGUUCACCAAAAGCAAAAGGAAAAACAAUCUUACAAGGAGAGAACUUACCAGUGGCUCCACACACAAGCAGUUCAUCCCGACACAGACUCUGCAGGCACGGGACGGCCAGGGGGACAGAGACGGUGGAGAUUCAGGAGCAAGAUUUUGGACUGACUCUACUAGUGUCUCUCCACCUCUUAAAAAGCAUACUCGGCCUCGAAGAUACUUGGCUGAAAACACAAAAACAGAAGUGCCAUCACCUACAAGAGUCAAUUCAGCUCCGAUCUGAAAUGAAUGCAUCUCGUUUCGGGACAACCCAGAGCGACACAGCGGAGGCUGGGGUGGAGGAAAGAAGAGAGCCAAAUUGAACAAAAUAACAGACUGAAUCUGCAGACUGAUGCCAGCGAGUAAUUCAUGCCAGUUGCAUACCCACAGAAAACAUAGGCAAACCAUGAGAGAUAAUCUUUUCAAGUGCCAGUGAGAGCAGAUCUGAAUAAGGUUAGUAAAACCCUUCAGAGUCAUAUAAAACCUAUUGGUUUGUUUGAGUUUCUAAUAGACUACAUUGUAUUUAACUGCCCGGGAACACAUUUAGGGGGAAAAUAAAUACUCAUUGAAUAAUCCUUCUCA